GUUAGGAAUAUUCGUCAAUGGGGGAAACCCUGAACGAGCAAUGCCGCGUGAAGGAAGAAGGUCCUCUGGAUUGUAAACUUCUGUUGUAAGGGAAAAACGACUAAAUUAGGAAAUGAGUUUAGAGUGAUGGUACCUUACGAGAAAGCUCCGGCUAACUACGUGCCAGCAGCCGCGGUAAUACGUAGGGAGCGAGCGUUAUCCGGAAUUAUUGGGUGUAAAGCGUGUGUAGGCGGUUAAAUAAGUCUAAGGUUUAAGCCCGGAGCUCAACUCCGGAUCGCCUUAGAAACUGUAUAACUUGAGUAUGGUAGAGGUAAACGGAAUUUCUAGUGUAGCGGUAAAAUGCGUAGAUAUUAGAAGGAACACCAGUGGCGAAGGCGGUUUACUGGGCCACCACUGACGCUGAGACACGAAAGCGUGGGGAGCAAAUAGGA
This 431-nucleotide ribosomal RNA is filed under the name uncultured bacterium. RNAcentral's name for it is "bacterial SSU rRNA". It matches the Rfam family "Bacterial small subunit ribosomal RNA", at positions 354 to 777 of the family's 1533-position model. The record is from RNAcentral.